RNAcentral lists this ribosomal RNA (232 nucleotides) under uncultured bacterium. Its description in RNAcentral is "partial 16S ribosomal RNA". It matches the Rfam family "Bacterial small subunit ribosomal RNA", at positions 118 to 347 of the family's 1533-position model. The record is from RNAcentral.
UGGGCAACCUGCCCCUGGCUCUGGGAUAACUCCAAGAAAUUGGGGCUAAUACCGGAUAUGACGUGCUGACCGCAUGGUCUGGUGGUGGAAAGAUUUUAUCGGCUGGGGAUGGGCCCGCGGCCUAUCAGCUUGUUGGUGGGGUAGUGGCCUACCAAGGCGACGACGGGUAGCCGGCCUGAGAGGGUGACCGGCCACACUGGGACUGAGACACGGCCCAGACUCCGUACGGGAG